Molecule: ribosomal RNA, 468 nt
Filed under: uncultured bacterium
Lineage: Bacteria
Description: partial 16S ribosomal RNA
Rfam family: Bacterial small subunit ribosomal RNA
Source: RNAcentral
GACGAACGCUGGCGGCGUGCUUAACACAUGCAAGUCGAACGGAAAGGCCCAGCUUUUGUGGGGUGCUCGAGUGGCGAACGGGUGAGUAACACGUGAGUAACCUGCCCUUGACUUUGGGAUAACUUCAGGAAACUGGGGCUAAUACCGGAUAGGAGCUCCUGCUGCAUGGUGGGGGUUGGAAAGUUUCGGCGGUUGGGGAUGGACUCGCGGCUUAUCAGCUUGUUGGUGGGGUAGUGGCUUACCAAGGCUUUGACGGGUAGCCGGCCUGAGAGGGUGACCAGCCACAUUGGGACUGAGAUACGGCCCAGACUCCUACGGGAGGCAGCAGUGGGGAAUAUUGCACAAUGGGCGGAAGCCUGAUGCAGCAACGCCGCGUGCGGGAUGACGGCCUUCGGGUUGUAAACCGCUUUCGCCUGUGACGAAGCGUGAGUGACGGUAAUGGGUAAAGAAGCACCGGCUAACUACGUG